GCGGAGGUGCCGGAGUGGCCGAUCGGGGCGGUCUCGAAAACCGUUGUACCCUGCGAAGGGUACCGUGGGUUCGAAUCCCACCCUCCGCC
RNAcentral lists this transfer RNA (89 nucleotides) under Defluviicoccus sp. It matches the Rfam family "tRNA". From Rfam's summary of the family: Transfer RNA (tRNA) molecules are approximately 80 nucleotides in length. The record is from Rfam by way of RNAcentral. Lineage: Bacteria; Pseudomonadati; Pseudomonadota; Alphaproteobacteria; Rhodospirillales; Rhodospirillaceae.